AAAAAGGCAAUGAAAAGAAGAGUAUGCUUUGAAAAAAUCAACAGAGAGUUCUACAAUGCUGAAAGGGAACGGUUUGGAAAAAGCAGAACAUGGUCUUGGAGCUGCAUACUGAAAGCAUAUUUUAUGUAAGUAGGCUAUGACGGGAACGCCCGUAACAGCGUUAGAGUGUCAGUUUUUUUUAACUCGCACUUGAUGAGGCUCUUAUUGUGAGAUAAGAGCAAAAUAGGGUGGUAACACGAAGCUAUGCUCUCGUCCCUAUG
This 260-nucleotide non-coding RNA is filed under the name Clostridium sp. Its description in RNAcentral is "T-box sequence". It matches the Rfam family "T-box leader". From Rfam's summary of the family: Uncharged tRNA acts as the effector for transcription antitermination of genes in the T-box leader family. T-boxes are found upstream of many aminoacyl-tRNA synthetase genes and some amino acid biosynthetic genes usually in Gram-positive bacteria. The record is from RNAcentral. Lineage: Bacteria; Bacillati; Bacillota; Clostridia; Eubacteriales; Clostridiaceae.